GUCCUGGAAAAUAAAAGACCUCGGCUUUGAAUAAUGACCGAAAAAAGGAUUGGGAUCUUGAUAACCGCGAAAGAACGCGUCGAGGAGUUACGGAAUUAGCGUGACCAAAGGGCUGCUCGUUUAACCUGUUAACUGAAGACGAAUUAACUUGUUCGAGUGGAAAACGUGUGGAACUUAGUAAUGCAAUUACUGAAAGAUUUUUAUCGCUGAUAUUCUAUAAAUAUUACAGAAGUAAUGAAAAAUGAUGCGAAAAUAUCUUUUCCAGUAUUUCAAUAUUUAAUGAAAAAAAGGGCAUGAGUUACAGUUCCUGAUUUGACCGUUUCAGUAUUCUAAGUUCAAAUUAUAUUUUCUUAUCACAUUUGUCCAAAUUACACAAGUCAUUAUAAUCUUAUAAAAUAAAUUAUUGUUUUAUUUAUACAGGAAACUGAUUUGUGUUCAUGAAAGAGUGUUAUUAAGAAUGAUCUAAUGAAUUAUACAGAAAAAAUUUAAUCUGAUCACGGAUCUUUACACAGGAGAAAUUGUUAUUAUAUUGUUGGCCACUGGUGGUGACUUCGUUCAUAUUGUCUGCCGGUGUUCACGAUAAUUCCCACAUUUAACGUCUCUUUUUCGUACGGGACAGGUUUUCGAAUAAACGUGCUGGGCGAUGUGAUGCGACAACGAUCGUCCACGUUGUCGUUUUGCAUCGCGAUCCUGCGUGCUACGUGUGUGUUUUUCCCCCUUUGUUUUAUAAUCGGAGAUAGAGAAUUCUUGACGGGAGGUCCAGGCAACCCUACGUCAUACUUGCUCGCUUCUUGGAACGGGAAUGUGCCUACUAUCUUUUUUCCUCUCUUUAUCGAUUAUAGCGUGAUAAAAGUGGCGCGAGAUGCUUGUCCCAUCUGUCAUUGAGCGUUAAAAUACAAGUUUCUCCUGAAUAUAAGAUGGACGAUUCAUCUUCAUGUUCAACGGUAAAUUGGAUCAUUUAUGUCAUUUUUGUGAUUUAAAUUUAUUAUGGGACACCUGUUAAAGUCACCGGUAUGUUAUGAAACCGUUGAUUGUAUGAAAUAUUUGAUAAAAAUUCAGAGGAAUGUCAAAUGUCGCCCUAGAUUGCCUACGAAGGGUCAAUUAUACUGAUACGCUGAAAAUAUUUUCGCGAAGUGUAAGGUUACUGGUAAUGAAAGUAUCCCGCGAGAAGCUAAUAUUAUUUUUGACUAUGAUAAUCAGGCUAAGGAGAGACAGGGGUAGCAACCUAAUUUCGCACCACCUGCACUUA
Megachile rotundata (alfalfa leafcutting bee) is the source of this 1249-nucleotide long non-coding RNA. Lineage: Eukaryota; Metazoa; Arthropoda; Insecta; Hymenoptera; Megachilidae. The record is from RefSeq and is a predicted model, not a curated record.